AUGGACACGCGAACGUUGUGGUUUCUGCGCCAUCCACGUCCACCUGACGACGGCUCGCUAGGGUGUUGGUC
This 71-nucleotide small RNA is filed under the name Xanthomonas phaseoli pv. phaseoli. RNAcentral's name for it is "Xanthomonas axonopodis pv. phaseoli sX9". The record is from RNAcentral. RNAcentral also lists the same sequence under 1 other name. Lineage: Bacteria; Pseudomonadati; Pseudomonadota; Gammaproteobacteria; Lysobacterales; Lysobacteraceae.